Long non-coding RNA from Eriocheir sinensis (Chinese mitten crab), 4175 nucleotides. RefSeq lists it as uncharacterized. The record is from RefSeq and is a predicted model, not a curated record. The transcript has 2 exons. NCBI's taxonomy places the organism in Eukaryota, Metazoa, Arthropoda, Malacostraca, Decapoda, Varunidae.
GGCCACCUUUAUUCAGGUACACACAUGUCAACAUUCAUGUACGUAUAAUAUAUAGAUUUAUUUUUUUCAUAUACAUCUUUUUUUAUAGUCUUCAUCACAGCAAAUACAACCAACGAACGAACACACAAACACACACACACACACACACACACACACACACAUACACACACACACACGCACACGCACACAUACAUACAUACACGGGUCACGGCUUGGCUCACUCCCACACCAACAAAUACACGAACACAAAGAGAAAAAAAAGGUUCACGUUCGGUUUUUAAAGUGAUUCGUGAUUCGUUCGUUUCGAGUUUCGUGUUUCGAGUCAAUUUCGUUUUAUAGGUUCGUUUUGUUUCAUUUUGUUUUUCAUAUUCGUUUUUUGGGGUGUGUUUUAGUGUUAUAGUGUGUGUGUGUGUGUCGCCAGCGCGCGUGUGUCCGCCAAUCAGGUUCAGCGACACACAUUCUAAGCUUAUGAUUGGCUGACGAGACGAGCGCUGGCGAGGGCGUGCGUUCGUGCUUGUGUGUGUGUGUGUGUGUGUGUACCUCAGCGCAUCACACUUUUAUUUUUGUUUUACGAGUCCCAUAACAAUAAUAAUAAUAAUAAUAAUAAUAAUAAUAAUAAUAAUAAUAAUAAUAAUAAUAAUAAUAAUAAUAAUAAUAAUAAUAAUAAUAACAAAAAUAAUGAUAAUGAUGAUGAUGAUGAUUGUAAGGAAAGAAGUGGGGUCAGAGGUCAUCAUUGCUGCCUAGCCUGACCUUGCCUGCCCAAAAAAUAUAUUAGGUCAAGAUUAGACGAGUUUUUGGAUAAGAUUUUUUUUUCUUCAUAUAAUUUUCGAGAUGACAUUGAACACUACUUUCUCUCGUGUGUGUGUGUGUGUGUGUGUGUGUGUGUGUGUGUGUGUGUGUGUGUGUGUGUGUGUGUGUGUGUGUGUGUGUGAAUGAGUUUGUGUGUAUAUUUCUGUGUAUGAGUGUGUGUGUGUGUGCGGUUAUGUGUGUGUAUUUUUGGACUAGCACUGGCCAUUACCCAAUGACUAACACACACACACACACACACACACACACACACACACACAGAAAGACAUUAACAGCUGCACAUACAUCUCUCUCUCUCUCUCACACACACACACACACAGUCUUGGUCAGCGAUAGAUAGACAGAUAGAUAGAAAUAUAGAUAGAGAGAUAGAUAGACAUAGAGAAAGAUAGACAGAUAGAAAUAGAGAGAACACAAUAACAUAUUCUCCUACUAAACAUCCCUCAUAGCAAAUCUAACAUGACCCAGCCUACCCUAACCUGACAUGACCUAACCUAACCAUCCCUAACACAACACACCAUGCAUGACCUCCAGUGACCUCUCAACCUUGACCAACUCGCUGCGGGCGCCGACCAAACCCCAAAGAGGAAUCGAACAAGUACACAACGCCAAGAAUUCCGAAAAAUACACGUUACAUGACCUUUUAUGAUCUUAGGAAACGUUCGCCUUGUCCCCCGAGCAGCCAUUCACGAGAGUCAAGGCGUGUGACCUCUAGCGGCGGGGAGGUCAAACUAACACCCGCUGCAGAGGAUAUAGACUGACCGAUACUGGUUCUGUACGUGUAGUGUGACCAUUGAGAGGGAUUGUAAGGCGAAAUUGACCUUAUGUAUGGCGUUCUUAGUGCCUUGUUUUCCUUGCAAUGCCUCGGCGCCCGCUCCUGAUAUCCUAACAAGUUCUUUUUCUUAUAUUUUUGCUUCGUCUGAAAAUUCUAUUCCUUAUACUUUUUUUUAAUCUUUCUCUGUUCUUCUUUUUCUUGUUGCUGGGUUCUCUCACUGGCCCUCUUUCUCUCUCUCUCUCUCUCUCUCUCUCGCCCCAGGACUGCAUGGCAUCACUCUGGAAUGGAAGACUUCUGGGAAACAUUCACUCACUUCUGAAACACUGAACGAAGAGAUUAGAGAAAAAGAAGACGUCUGAGGGUGAACUAAGCUGAAUAAAUAGAUGAAAUUGGUACAGGAGUGAAAGACAAAUGUAAAAACCAUGAACAUAAAUAGAUGAACGAGAAGGUCAGCCAGCAGGAUGACGUUAGAGGCUGUACUAACAUAAAUAAACAGAUUGGUAGAUUGAAAUGAAUGAGGGGAUGAAUAAAUAAAUGAAAGAAAUGUAGUGAAACGCCUGACGAGCAUAGAGAUGAAUGACUAGGUUUAUGUAUAUGAAAAUAAUUUGUGUAUUCGUAAACAACACUGCAUUCGUUGAUGAAAUUCAAACAGUAAAAAUGAAAUAAAUGAAACUGCAAACACUUUUCGUAUUUGGCAAUUAAAUAAAAAAAUAAAGAAAGAGAGAAGGGAAGGAAACAAAAUAUAAAUAAUGAACGAACGAAAUCAGACUUCAAGACAGAAUUAUAUUUACCGAUUGAAUAGCAACAAAAAAGUAAUGCAAUAUUCUUGAUUUUGAACGUCUUAUAAUAAUAUUAAUAAUAAUAAUGAUAACAGUAAUGAUGAAAACAAUAAUAACAAUAACAAUAAUCGACUGAUCGUGGGACUUUUUUUUUUUUUUUACUUUUCUACUUUUUUUUAGUUACUUUUUUGUGUAUACUUUUUUUGUUACUUUUAUCUUGUGUGUUUUUAUGCGAAAGGUACGUGUGUGUGUGUGUGUGUGUGUGUGUGUGUGUGUGUGUGUGUGUGUGUGUGUGUGUGUGUGUGUGUGUGUGUGUGUGUGUAUUGGUAGUAAAAUCGUCAAUAUCUUGGUGGUUCCCUAUUGGCACUUCCCUACAUUUAUGGUGCCAUCCUUGCUUCCAUGGCACCAUACUGGCACUAUAUCGGCUCUUAUGGUGCCAUGAUAUCCUAAGGUGCCUCUCCUAAGCUUGUGUGGUAGUCUAUGGUGCUUCCCUUGACUACCAAUGCUUAGUAUGGUGGUAUAGUGCAUCCCUUAUGGUGUUGGUUACGGUGCCAUUACCAUACGACUCCCAUGGCAGUGUUUGAUGGUAGUGCUUCCCUAUGGUGCCAUGUAUGGUGUCUGUAUAGUGGUAUGGUGCCAUGAAGUAGGCCAGUGUGGUUAUGAUGGUGUUGUUUAGUCUUCCCUUGUGGUUCUCAUGGCAGUUAUGGUGUUAUGGUGCCUGUUUCUCAUGGGGUUUCGUUUUUCACUCCCAGGGCAGUUUAUGGUGUUAUGGUGCUUCCCUUAUAGUGCCAUGGUGAGUGUUUUAUGAUGUUAUGGUGCUUCCCUUCUCCCAUGGCUGAUUUUAUGGUGUCUGUUUCUCAUGAUGCUAUGUUUUUCACUCCCAUGGCAGGUUAUGGUGGUAUGGUGCUUCCCUUAUAGUGCCAUGGUAAGAGUUUUAUGAUGUUAUGGUGCUUCCCUACUCCCAUGGCUGAUUUUAUGGUGUCUGUUUCUCAUGGCGUCACGUUUUUCACUCCCAUGGUAGGUUAUGGUGGUAUGGUGCUUCCCUUAUGGUGCCAUGGUGAGUGUUUAUGGUGUUGAUUAUGGUGCUUCCCUUCUCUCAUGGCUAAUUUUAUGGUGUCUUUUGCUAAUGGUGCUUUCUUCUUCACUCCCAUGGUAGUUUAUGGUGUUAUUGUGCUUCCCUAAUGGUGCCAUGGUGAGUGUUUAUGAUGUUAUGGUGCUUCCCUACUCCCAUGGCUGAUUUUAUGGUGUCUGUUUCUCAUGGCAUUCCUUUUUUACUCCCAUGGUGGGUUAUGGUGGUAUGGUGCUUCCCUUAUGGUGCCAUGGUGAGUGUUUAUGGUGUUGGUUAUGGUGCUUCCUCACUCCCAUGGCUGAUUUUAUGGUGUUCGCUUUUUAGGUUGUUUUCACUCCCAUGGCAGUUCAUGAUGUUAUGGUGCUUCCCUUAUGGUGCCAUGGUGAGUGUUUAUGGUGUUAGUUAUGGUGCUUCCCUUUCUCCCAUGGUUGUGGUUUGGUAUGGUGCUCCCUCACUACCAAGGCUUUCAAAAUCAUGGUAGUAAUGGUAGUUUCCUUAUGUAUGGUGUUAUUAGGUAUGGUAGCGUAGGUAUGGUGGUAUGGUGAGAGAAGAGGGACAGUGUGUGUGUGUGUGUGUGUGUGUGUGUGUGUGUGUGUGAUGACAUUGCAUAGUUUAAAGUUUUCUUUCAGAUAAGCUUGUUAGAUAGGAGAGAGAGAGAGAGAGAGAGAGAGAGAGAGAGAGAGAGAGAGAGAGAGAGAGAGAGAGAGAGAGAGAGAGAGAGAGAGAGAGAGAGAGAGCGUGUAAA